Molecule: ribosomal RNA, 497 nt
Filed under: uncultured bacterium
Lineage: Bacteria
Description: partial 16S ribosomal RNA
Rfam family: Bacterial small subunit ribosomal RNA
Source: RNAcentral
GACGAACGCUGGCGGCGUGCCUAAUACAUGCAAGUAGAACGCUGAAGAGAGGAGCUUACUCUUCUUGGAUGAGUUGCGAACGGGUGAGUAACGCGUAGGUAACCUGCCUUGUAGCGGGGGAUAACUAUUGGAAACGAUAGCUAAUACCGCAUAACAAUGGAUGACACAUGUCAUUUAUUUGAAAGGGGCAAUUGCUCCACUACAAGAUGGACCUGCGUUGUAUUAGCUAGUAGGUGAGGUAAUGGCUCACCUAGGCGACGAUACAUAGCCGACCUGAGAGGGUGAUCGGCCACACUGGGACUGAGACACGGCCCAGACUCCUACGGGAGGCAGCAGUAGGGAAUCUUCGGCAAUGGGGGCAACCCUGACCGAGCAACGCCGCGUGGGUGAAGAAGGGUUUCGGAUCGUAAAGCUCGGUUGUAAGUCAAGAACGGGUGUGAGAGUGGAAAGUUCACACUGUGACGGUAGCUUACCAGAAAGGGACGGCUAACUACGUG